Molecule: long non-coding RNA, 296 nt
Filed under: Nicotiana benthamiana
Lineage: Eukaryota; Viridiplantae; Streptophyta; Magnoliopsida; Solanales; Solanaceae
Description: long non-coding RNA (NBEN_LNC001712)
Source: RNAcentral
UAGGUUUAUAGCUAACACUGUUUCAGAUAUAUGUAGAUAUUUUUGCUUUAGUGAUAAAACAACGGCAAUUUCUAUGGAUAAUGCUUCUAGUAACACUAGUGCAAUAGGCAUGCCAAACCCUUAAUCCUGUAUUUAGUAAUAUUUUCCAUGUUAGAUGUAUUUGUUAUAUUUAUCAUUUAAUUGUUGGUGAUGGCAUGCGAAUAUUAAACGUAGCAAUUGAAAAGGUAAGAAUAGCUCUUAAUUGGCUAUUUUAUUCAAACCGUAGAACUAGACUUAGAGAGUAUUUUAAAAAAUGU